This 497-nucleotide ribosomal RNA is filed under the name uncultured bacterium. Its description in RNAcentral is "partial 16S ribosomal RNA". It matches the Rfam family "Bacterial small subunit ribosomal RNA", at positions 28 to 507 of the family's 1533-position model. The record is from RNAcentral.
GACGAACGCUGGCGGCGUGCCUAAUACAUGCAAGUUGAGCGAUGAAGAUUGGUGCUUGCACCAAUUUGAAGAGCAGCGAACGGGUGAGUAACGCGUGGGGAAUCUGCCUUUGAGCGGGGGACAACAUUUGGAAACGAAUGCUAAUACCGCAUAAUAACUUUAAACAUAAGUUUUAAGUUUGAAAGAUGCAAUUGCAUCACUCAAAGAUGAUCCCGCGUUGUAUUAGCUAGUUGGUGAGGUAAAGGCUCACCAAGGCGAUGAUACAUAGCCGACCUGAGAGGGUGAUCGGCCGCAUUGGGACUGAGACACGGCCCAAACUCCUACGGGAGGCAGCAGUAGGGAAUCUUCGGCAAUGGACGAAAGUCUGACCGAGCAACGCCGCGUGAGUGAAGAAGGUUUUCGGAUCGUAAAACUCUGUUGGUAGAGAAGAACGUUGGUGAGAGUGGAAAGCUCAUCAAGUGACGGUAACUACCCAGAAAGGGACGGCUAACUACGUG